CAAUAGCGUAUAUUAAAGUUGUUGCGGUAAAAAAGCUCGUAGUUGGAUUUCUACCGAAGAUAGCCGGUCGGGUCUUCGACCUUGUAUCUGGUUUUGUCUUUGGUAUCCUCAUAGGGAACGUUUCUGCGCUUUAUUGCGUGGUGCGGUAUCUAUGACUUUUACUUUGAGGAAAUUAGAGUGUUCACGGCAGGCAAACGCCUUGAAUAUAUUAGCAUGGAAUAAUAACAUAGGAUCUUCGUCCUAUUUUGUUGGUUUCUAGGGUUAAGAUAAUGAUUAAUAGGGAUAAUUGGGGGCAUCUGUAUCAACGCGUCAGAGGUGGAAUUCUUGGAUUGCGUUGCGACAAACUACUGCGAAAGCAUUUGCCAAGGAUGUUUUCAUUGA
Molecule: ribosomal RNA, 381 nt
Filed under: uncultured eukaryote
Lineage: Eukaryota
Description: partial 18S ribosomal RNA
Rfam family: Eukaryotic small subunit ribosomal RNA
Source: RNAcentral